RNAcentral lists this long non-coding RNA (2858 nucleotides) under Gallus gallus (chicken). RNAcentral's name for it is "long non-coding RNA NONGGAT008664". Lineage: Eukaryota; Metazoa; Chordata; Aves; Galliformes; Phasianidae. The record is from RNAcentral.
UUCGUGUUUUAAAUUUUCACUGCUUUUCUCACUCUGGACAGAUAGACUCCGUGCAUCUUUCAUAGAAAAUGAUUUGUUUCCAUCAUAUUUUGAAGUGUUUCGAAAUAAGUCUACUUUUGGAGAUGAUCUGAAUGGCAGUUUGCUUGGGCUUCCAUGCUGGUUAUUGCUAUUACUUCCAAGAGAACCUUGUCUAGAGUAAGCAUUUUCUGUGUUUUUUGAAGUAUUUGAAAGAGUCUCUUGUGUUGCUCCUGACCCAGGAAUGGCCUUGAUUUGAAGUCCUUCCAUGGCUGAGUUCUGCCUUGUUAGAGAAUUUCCUCUGUCAGAAGUGUUUGUAAUAAUCUGAGUCCGUACUUUUCCAAGACCUUCUGUCACAAGGGUAGAUGACUUUUCUCCUGUAUGAACGCUGAAACUCUGACUUCGAGCUUUCGCUCCAUUCAUGCCUAGAGCUGGUUUCAAGUGUGACUUGUUGCUAGAAGAAAAAGAUCUCUUAACUAGUUUGCUUUCUAAUUCAUCUACUCUGUCUACCACCAAGCUGCCAUUUUCAUGUGAACGAGGUGAUGCUGUAUCCACACUAAGUCUCAAAGAAAAAUUAUCUUUUAUUUCGGUAUCAGACUUAGAGUCCUUUAAUUCAGCAUCUAUUGCACCUUUGGUGGCCACACGUUCAUUUUGCUUGUGCUUACUUGUACUCACGUGGCUUUUGGAAGCUGCAUUUAUACUAUCUUUUUCCUGCUUCCCUGGGACGGUGGAGCUCUUUCGGAGAAGUUGAGGAGAUUUGACAAAUAAUUUCAGUCCUACAGGGAGACGGGUUUUCACUCCUUUCUCAUUAGAGUUUUGUGUGGCAUUUGCAGUGUCACUACCAUGAAACAGUGUUGACAAUGGAGAAUUGUUUACCUGAGAUAGCAAGGGCUCACUCACGCUUGCUGUAUGACAUUGAGGAGUUGCAGGGAGAAUGUUUGGCAUCUUUUGUGGCUGAUCAACCCCACUGUCACUGGAAAUAUCCUUCUUGCUGGAAUGCACUUCUUGUGAAGUUGUUUCCAGUGACGGACCCAGAGGAAUGGACCUGCCUGUCUGAGAAUCCAUGCUCAGAAACUCACGGUUCCUGUGGAGACCCAUCUGAUUGGUGUUUUUCAGGCAGACUUGCUUUGUGGAAACUUUGGAAAGUCCUUGGCAUGCACUAUGGGGUUGCUGAGAUAUACAUUUAUUUUGCAUAAUUGCUUCAGAAUUUUCUUGAAGGUAAGAUAACUCAAUUUUGGCCCCAGAAGAUAGACUUUUUGCUUGCAUAUCAUGACUAGAUUGAUUAUGGAUGCCAGAGUUUGCAGUUCCUUUUAAUGGUGAUGGUUUCAGUAUAUUUUUUGCUGUUUCACCUGGAACAGCUCCUCCUAACUUCACAGCCGCAGGUUGUGAAUGAGCAUAAUCAGGACGAAUCAAUAGGGACGUUGACCUGCCGGGAGGAAGGGGUGGGGAUGGCGACCUGGCUUCUACAGUUGCUAAAUCAUGAUUAGAGUCUCUAGUUGGAGGUUCUCCAUAGUCAGUAGGCUCUAUAAGGUGCUGAGGCAACAGUGGUGAUGCUGGACUCUGACUCUUUGGAUACUUUGUCCCAUUGCCUCUGCUCGGACGCUUUGAGCUGGGCAGGGGGUGGGCAGGGGGCUUUGGAACUUGGAAGUCAACUUUUGAGUCAAAAUUACGAGGUGGACUUUGUGCCUUUUUGAGUCUUGAAAGCUUUACAGGUGGAAGAGCAGGUGAUUUUUCAAGGGUUGCAGGGGUCACUGAAGUAGCUACAGGUGCCUCCUCACUCUCUGUCAUCUUGUUUUUUUGUGGAGAAAAUUUACCUCUGCUGGGUAUUUUAGUCAAGAUUGGCUUUUGAUUGACUCCUGCAUGAACAAUGGAGCUUGAAUUGGUCUUGUACGACACAUCAUACACUGGCUUCACUAGUUUUUGUCGUGGUGCAUUUUGCAGUAUGAUUCUUCCACAGGGUGAAGAUUCACUGCAGGUUGUGGUGACAACCAUAUUUUUAUUCCCUGUAUUAUCUUCAAGAGUCUGUUUUUUAGUUUUGUCUUCAGGUCCUUCCAAAACACUGUAGUCUCUAGCAUUUGUUCCUGCCUGCAAAUUAGCUAUUCCCUGAGGUAUAAGUUCAGUAUAUUCUGCACUGGACCUACUUUCUGGUUGGUUGACUGAUAUCUCAUUUCUUGUUACAGUGACAACUCCAAUUUGAUGCGAGCUGAAUUCAAUAGGCUCACCGUCCUCAGCAUCAAAUAUCACUGUAAUGCACUCCUCAGAAGAAGUCUUUUUUAUGACUUUUUGUUGUUUAAUGAAAUUACAUGUCUUUGGCCUAAUGUCUGAGUGAGCAGAUGUCUGUCUUUCCUCUUUGUCACUAGAUAUAAACUGAGAAUUCUCUGUGACUAUGAGCACAUCAGAGUUCUUUGUGUACUUCUCAGUAAAAGGAGUUGCUAAUAAAUCUGAUGGACUUUUCUCAUCACUGCUUUCUAUAUGCAAUUCAUCCAAGACUUCAUUGUCAUCAGUAUCUGAAAGCUGAAAAUUAAGGUCCUUCCAGCCUAUAUUAGCAUGGCUUUGAUCUAACUGUAAAUCAGGCAGCUUUGUUCUGGUGCACGAUUCUACUUCUGCCUGAAAUCCACUGACAAAACUGGUCAAUUUUUCUGGUCUUUCCUUUGAAUUAAAAUAUGAACUUCUUUCUGGCAAAUGUUUCCUAUUAGGAUCCCAGUGAAAGAGACUGUCAGAAACACUGUGAGUUAAUUUGUUACAAUAGAUCCUGCAGUCUUUGCUUGGUACUUCCUGCAGCAAUAAUAAAGAUGAAGAAUCAUCAUCUGCAUCAUCAUGACUUCAUACUGGUGUGAAGGCCA